Molecule: ribosomal RNA, 251 nt
Filed under: uncultured bacterium
Lineage: Bacteria
Description: partial 16S ribosomal RNA
Rfam family: Bacterial small subunit ribosomal RNA
Source: RNAcentral
UACGUAGGGUGCAAGCGUUGUCCGGAAUUAUUGGGCGUAAAGAGCUCGUAGGCGGCCUGUCGCGUCGGCUGUGAAAACCCGAGGCUCAACCUCCAGCCUGCAGUGGGUACGGGCAGACUAGAGUGCGGUAGGGGAGAUUGGAAUUCCUGGUGUAGCGGUGGAAUGCGCAGAUAUCAGGAGGAACACCGAUGGCGAAGGCAGAUCUCUGGGCCGUAACUGACGCUGAGGAGCGAAAGCAUGGGAACGAACAG